Molecule: long non-coding RNA, 1780 nt
Filed under: Capra hircus (goat)
Lineage: Eukaryota; Metazoa; Chordata; Mammalia; Artiodactyla; Bovidae
Description: lncRNA (ENSCHIG00010009057.1)
Source: RNAcentral
CAACCCAUUCCAAUAUUCUUGCUUGGGAAAUCCCAUGGACAGAGGAGCCUCAUGGGCUGCAGUCCAUGGGGUCACACAAAGCCAAACAAAGCUGAGCAGGCACAUAUGCUGGAAGCUACAAGAGUCAGUUGGGCAGCUGAGCCUUAGCAACACCUGUGGCAAAUAUCCCCUGUGGUGUCUGACAUUCUGAGUCUCUCAGCUGCCUCGAUGGCCUCUGUCUUAGCACGCCCAGUGACCACCCACUCCUCUUUCUCUUGGUGCAGAGAGCACAGGACAGAGGAGGCGCUCUUACUUUCUCCCUUGAUCCCUUUUCAGUACAGGAACAUCAGAUGACAUGGCAUAUGGAAUGUUUAUCAGAACAUAGUCACAGUGAUAACUGGAAAAUUAGAAUUAACCUUAAUUGAGCACCGUUCACUAUGGGGGUGCUUUGCUGAAUCUCAGCCACUCUUCAAUAAGUAUUAUUAUUGUGCCUGUUGACAGGGCUUCUCUGGUAGCUCAGACAGUAAAGAAUCUGCCUGCAAUGUGGGAGACUCAGAUUCGAUCUGUAGAUGGGGAAGAUCCCCCGGAGCAAGGAAAUGGCAACCCACUCCAGUAUUCUCACCUGGAGAACUCUUUUUUAAAAAAAUAUAUAUUUGUUUUUAUUUAUUUCUUUGACUGCGUUGGGUCUUAGUUGCAGCAUGUGGGAUCUACUUCCNNNNNNNNNNNNNNNNNNNNNNNNNNGCUGCGUUGGGAGCAUGGAGCCUUAGCCACUGGACCACCAGGGAAGUCCCCCUGACCCAGAGAAUUCUAUGGACACAAGGAGUCCCACAGGACUGAGCGACUAACACUUUCACUUUCUUUCAUUGUGCCUGUUGAUCAGUGGGUGAGGCAGGUCUUAGAGCAGAAAGAACUUGCCCCAGUGACACGGUUAGUCACCAGGGCCUGGGUGGGUGGGGGGAGCCGGAUGUUCACCUAGGUGAUCUCUCUGACAAUUUUAACCACCGCCAAGACUCAGGUUCUAAGUAGUCUGGCGCUUUGUCUGUACGUUUGGCUUCAGGGACUGCAGACCGACCCAGGGUUUCACAAGGUGCGUGUCCGUGUGCCCACCUCUGCCCUGCAGACCUGCCCUGCAUUUCCGCAUUCUGCUUCAUGCUCCCGGGCAUCAGGGGUCCCCUCGUGUCAUGUGGCUGCUGCCUUCCGCUCAGCACCCCACCUCUGGGUUCUGCCUUCCCUGGAGGCUGGUAGCGCCUGCCUUGGCAGCCCCAGGAAUCACACUAAUCCUUGGUUUCACUCCACCCAGCCCACACCCUUGGUAAACAGACCUUUUAUUCAACUCUCCUGCCUUUUCCUGUUUUGCGUGUGCCAUUUGUUUCCUCCUGGGACCCUAACUGAUCCAGUCUUCAUGGGUGUUCCUCAACCCUGACCUGGUUCUGCCCUUAAGUCACACCCCUGCCUCCCUAGAAACCUCCCCUCCCUUCCCCAGGUCAGGUUCAACUCUGCCUCCUUCCUGAGUCCUGUACUCAGGGUGGCCUUGUGAGGGUGGGGCCUCAGGAGCAGAGGCCGGACCACCUCCAGGUCUGGCUCAGUCCCUCCACCUGGUGGGGCUCUGGUCCCGUCUCUUUGGAACUGACUGCAUCUCUCCAGGACAUACACUAAUUGCUUUCUCAGAGACAGCAUAGCCUCAGUUCAGUUCAGUUCAGUCGCUCAGUCGUGCCCGACUAUUUGCCACCCCAUGAAUUGCAGCAUGCAAUGCCUCCCUGUCCAUCACCAACUCCAGGAGUUCACUCAGACUCAUGUCCAU